UACAGAGGUCCCAAGCGUUGUUCGGAUUCACUGGGCGUAAAGGGUGCGUAGGUGGCGAAGUAAGUCGGAUGUGAAAUCUCCGAGCUCAACUCGGAAAUGGCAUUGGAAACUACUUUGCUCGGGGGUCGGAGGGGGGACUGGAAUUCUCGGUGUAGCAGUGAAAUGCGUAGAUAUCGAGAGGAACACCAGUGGCGAAGGCGAGUCCCUGGACGACUCCUGACACUGAGGCACGAAAGCUAGGGGAGCAAACAGG
RNAcentral lists this ribosomal RNA (253 nucleotides) under uncultured bacterium. RNAcentral's name for it is "partial 16S ribosomal RNA". It matches the Rfam family "Bacterial small subunit ribosomal RNA", at positions 524 to 776 of the family's 1533-position model. The record is from RNAcentral.